This 468-nucleotide ribosomal RNA is filed under the name uncultured bacterium. RNAcentral's name for it is "partial 16S ribosomal RNA". It matches the Rfam family "Bacterial small subunit ribosomal RNA", at positions 28 to 507 of the family's 1533-position model. The record is from RNAcentral.
GACGAACGCUGGCGGCGUGCUUAACGCAUGCAAGUCGAACGGAAAGGCCCUGCUUUUGUGGGGUGCUCGAGUGGCGAACGGGUGAGUAACACGUGAGUAACCUGCCCUUGACUUUGGGAUAACUUCAGGAAACUGGGGCUAAUACCGGAUAGGAGCUCCUGCAGCAUGGUGGGGGUUGGAAAGUUUCGGCGGUUGGGGAUGGACUCGCGGCUUAUCAGCUUGUUGGUGGGGUAGUGGCUUACCAAGGCUUUGACGGGUAGCCGGCCUGAGAGGGUGACCGGCCACAUUGGGACUGAGAUACGGCCCAGACUCCUACGGGAGGCAGCAGUGGGGAAUAUUGCACAAUGGGCGGAAGCCUGAUGCAGCAACGCCGCGUGCGGGAUGACGGCCUUCGGGUUGUAAACCGCUUUCGCCUGUGACGAAGCGUGAGUGACGGUAAUGGGUAAAGAAGCACCGGCUAACUACGUG